UAGCUCAGUGGUAGAGCGCUUGCCUUACAUGCAUGAGGCCCUGGGUUCGAUUCCUCAG
This 58-nucleotide transfer RNA is filed under the name Dipodomys ordii (Ord's kangaroo rat). It matches the Rfam family "tRNA", at positions 8 to 63 of the family's 71-position model. Rfam says of the family: Transfer RNA (tRNA) molecules are approximately 80 nucleotides in length. Their secondary structure includes four short double-helical elements and three loops (D, anti-codon, and T loops). The record is from Rfam by way of RNAcentral. Lineage: Eukaryota; Metazoa; Chordata; Mammalia; Rodentia; Heteromyidae.